RNAcentral lists this ribosomal RNA (182 nucleotides) under Filobacillus milosensis. Its description in RNAcentral is "partial 16S ribosomal RNA". It matches the Rfam family "Bacterial small subunit ribosomal RNA", at positions 1354 to 1533 of the family's 1533-position model. Lineage: Bacteria; Bacillati; Bacillota; Bacilli; Caryophanales; Bacillaceae. The record is from RNAcentral.
AUGCCACGGUGAAUACGUUCCCGGGCCUUGUACACACCGCCCGUCACACCACGAGAGUUGGUAACACCCGAAGUCGGUGGAGUAACCUUUUGGAGCUAGCCGCCGAAGGUGGGACCAAUGAUUGGGGUGAAGUCGUAACAAGGUAGCCGUAUCGGAAGGUGCGGCUGGAUCACCUCCUUUCU